This 73-nucleotide transfer RNA is filed under the name Fukomys damarensis (Damara mole-rat). It matches the Rfam family "tRNA". From Rfam's summary of the family: Transfer RNA (tRNA) molecules are approximately 80 nucleotides in length. Their secondary structure includes four short double-helical elements and three loops (D, anti-codon, and T loops). Lineage: Eukaryota; Metazoa; Chordata; Mammalia; Rodentia; Bathyergidae. The record is from Rfam by way of RNAcentral.
GCCUCCUUAGCACAGCAGGCAACGCGUCAGUCUCGUAAUCUGAAAGUCUUGAGUUCAAACCCCAGAAGGGGUA